CCGCCCCCAUUCGGCUUCCGCUUUCGGAACACGGUGCAACUCCGUGGCGGGCCCGCCGCUGUAAUCGGGGACGGUCGUUCCACGGCGUGGUGCAGUUUUUCCACGCCACCCACUGCCGCAGCAAAUGCGGCGGGAAGGGGGAGCCCAGUAGCAGGACCGGUCGAUCCGUAAGCCAGAAGACGGGCGGAAGUCGUGGAGUUCCA
RNAcentral lists this non-coding RNA (203 nucleotides) under Azospira oryzae. Lineage: Bacteria; Pseudomonadati; Pseudomonadota; Betaproteobacteria; Rhodocyclales; Rhodocyclaceae. The record is from RNAcentral.